UUUAAAAUGAAAUGCAUAUGAGUUAUGUGGAAAAACGGGAAGUGAAAUACCAUGCAUAGAAUUGAUAUGAAAAGUAUAUAGAAAUGUGAGUUGAAAUGCCAUGCAUGAAUUAAUAUAUGAUGCAUAUGUAUGAAUUGGUGCGGUGGACGCACAGGUAAGAAUUGAUUUAUGAUGCAUAUGUAUGAAAUGGUGCGGUGGACGCACAGAUGAGUAUUUAAUUACUGUUAUGAUGAUGAUGAUAUAUAUUGAGCUCAAAUCCUGCACCAUGGUUUAGUGCUUAUAGUAUUCACCGCAUCGCACGCUCGCCUUGGAUCCAAGUAGAUGCUAGUCGUACAGUCCACGCGGAGUGGGUACGACAGACCAGUCGCGAGAGUGUUAGUGAGAUUCCGACUGGUGGGUGACCUUAGAUUAUGUGCACAGAUGAUUUAUGAGAAGCACUAGAGCGUAACUUGUGUGCAGAAGGCCGGACGGGUCACAGAGGUGACUCCGGUAGAGUGAUAAUGAUAGAUUUUGAGCUCUAGGUUCAACCGUAUAGGGCUAUUAGAGGGCCUACGGUUGAUUACUUUCUUGCACCUGAUAUGAUUAUGUUGAUGCAUUCAUACCUUAUUACUGUUGAGAUGAUGUGGCAUGGCAUAAUUAAUAUGAGAAAUGUUGAGAUGAUGUGGCAUGGCAUAAUUAAUAUGAGAAAUGUUGAGAUGACAUGGCAUGGCAUGAUUGAUAAAGAGAUAAUGUUGAGAUAGUAAAAAUGAAGUUUUGAGAAUAUAUAUGUAUAUUUAUAUUUUACAUUUCUGGGAAAGUAUACAGGUUUUACGGAGAGGGGUUACAACGUUUUGAGAAAUGUUUGGAUUUGGAAAAGAAUUGUUUUACUGACCCACUCAAUUUUGGUUUUGCGCCCCUCCAGGUUCAGGAAUCACAAAGGUGUGGUGACUACGAGGAAUUCGACGGUGUUCUGACAGAUUGGACAAAAUUAGGACUCACCUUCGGGUGUAUCAAUUUAAAUUGUAUCUUAAAGCUUCCGUACUGUGCAAAUGGUUACGUCACUCUCACGUGACGGCCAGCAUGCCCUCCUUCGGGACGGGGUGUGUCAAUCUAACCUUGGUGAAGAGACUUAGAGGUUCUCAAUUUUGGGAACUUGGAGAAACCUAUUCAUCCAACCAAAUCCAUAGAUUUUAGAUGCAAGGAAUGAAGGCCCUCUCUUUGGGUGAUUAGCCUUUGCUUAUGCAAGGAGGAAUCUACAAAGGUAAUAAUUUCAACUCACUUUGUUUUGAGAUGAUAAUUGGUUCACCAAUCUACUAGGCUUUGAAUUUCAUGGUAAUGUUUUGUUUUUGAGUGCAUACAAGCAUGAUUCCGCCUUUAAUUGUUAAUUGCAUGCUAUAUGAUGUUGCUCAAAUGAACAUGUUUUUCAAAAUAAUUCCUUCAUAUAUAUAUAUAAAAACUUGGUCCACUCACCCUUGUUUUGUGCCCCCUUUCAGGAUUUAGAAUCGAGGCAUAUGAUGCGAAUUUUAACUUAACACAAAUUAAACCCUCUUGUUGUCAAAUUGUAGUAUAAAUGCAAGUAGGAAUCGUUUUAAACCAGGGAUUAGGAGGGCUUGCUCAAACCUCUAAACUAACUUAAAAAUAUAUAAACAAAGUUAAAAACACUAAACUAGACUCAAAGAACUUAAAACAAACUCAAAGGACUCAAAACAAGCUAAAAAUGCUCAAAUCAACCUAAAAACACAAACUGGGCAGAUUUGGACUCUAACACUUUUGGGACACCUAAAAACACAAAUCAAAAUAGAUUUUGACUAAUAAAACACUUUAAAGUAAAGGGGGUUUUGGCUUUGACGAAUUUGAAAACAAAACAAGUAAAUUAAAGAACUAAUGAAGUCUGCACGAAUUUGAGUAAAUUGAAUGGAUGGAAGGCUAGCUAGGAGGUUCUUCUCCACAAAUGACAUACUUGCACAUAAACCAAUUUUUAGUUGUUCUUUCGAUCAAUCAUGAAACUCAACACCCCAGGUUAAUUAAGUCCGCUUAAAUUAACCUUCAAGUUCUCCUUAAGUUAUUGAAUUGGAUGAGAAAGCGCAUACAACAAUUCAAGCAUUCUUCAAAAGUUCUUUACGUGAACAGCACAAUAAAGAUACAAUCAAAGAUCAUUAAGCAUUAUGAAAACUAUAAGUAUUGACGAGACACUCGUUACUAUGAUGAGCAUGAAACUCCUGCCAAUAAUUUAUUUAACGCGAUCGUUUAUAAGCGACCUCCACUACUUGUGAAUAUGAGUUCGUAAUUAUUAGGUGAAACUCCCUUAUACUCUAGCAUCAUAUUCAUGCAUGCAAACUAAGUGUGCACUCUUAAUAAACAUACACGAAUAAGUUAUCAAUCAAGCAGUUAAACAAAUUGAAUCCACAACUUAUGAAAUCACAACUGAAGGUAAUCAAAUCAUAUUGCAAGCAUGAACAUGGUUUCGAAUUCCCCCCUAGCUAAGGGGGGUUUAGUUCCUCAUACUCAUAAAGCAAAGAUAAACAAAUUUAGACAUUGAAAACAAAAGAAUGAAAACACCUAAAAACACUCAAACAAUCCAACUUGAAUGGCAAGCACGUCCAAGGGUCAUCCAUCUUCUCUUUGUUGCGGCACAAGGUGUGGUUUGAUGGAUGAGUGGUAAAUUAUGGUGGUGGAUGGAUAUAGGUGAGUUAUGGUGAAGGGUGGAUGGGUGGAUUGUGUUCUCCCCCAAGGAAUGAAAGUGUAAGUGUAUGGAGUUGUGAGAUGUGAAUGUAGUGUCUUUGGAUGGAUCUUUUCUCCUCCCUUGUUAUGGUGAAGGGUGGAUGUAUUUAUAGGCUAGGGAGAGGACCACCAUCUAAUUAAGGUGGUAGUGGUGUAUGUUGUGGUAAUGUGUGGAUAUAAUGAGUGUAGUGGGUGAGUGUUUGGUAAUGAGUGGAUGUAAUGGGUGUAGUGGAUGGAUGUUUGGUAAUGAGUGGAUGUAAUGGGUGUAGUGGAUGAGUGUUUGGUAAUGAGUGGAUGUAAUGGGUGUAGUGGAUGGAUGUUUGGUAAUGAGUGGAUGGGUGUAGUGGAUGAGUGUUUGGUAAUGAGUGGAUGUAAUGGGUGUAUUGGAUGGAUGCUUGGUAAUGAGUGGAUGGAAUGGGUGUAGUGGAUGAGUGUUUGUAGUUAUAGGUCAACACACUUGCACGCACACAUGCUGAUUUCUAGCCUUCUAAUCUUCAAAAACGUCCAUCCUCAUGUCUCCAUGCUUGCACUAUCCAAUCUUGGCCCAAAAAUGCUCCAAAGUGCUCCAAAUAGCACUUUGUUGCCAACUUUGUUAUUUGAACCUACAAACACACGAAAAUAGCUUAAAGUACUAAAAUAACUAGAAUUAAACUAAUUAAAUGCCAAGAAACAAGCUCACUAAGUUGCAUAAAUAUGCUCUUAUCAAAUUCCCUCACACUUAGCUUUAGCUAGUCCUCGAGCAAAACAAAAGAAACAGAACGAAACAAAACAAACAAAACAAACAAAACACAACCUAACCAUCCAACAUUUGCCUCAGGGAUUUCCAAUGCACAUGACAUGUUAAAAAUCAUCAUUCCCAAGAUUUUGGUUAUCUUCACACUUGAGCAUAAACUUAAUCACAGUCACUACUUACUAGUUCACAAUUAACCAAUUAAAACAAUGUUUUGAAUGUAGUAACAUGCCUUAGGGAAUUUGCUCAAUUCCUUACAAGAUACUUUCUAUUUCUCACACACAUUUUCUGACUACACACCCUACACUAGUAUAUGUGAGAAGAUUAAUGUAAACACAAAAGACUAGGACUCACAUAUGUUAUAACAAAGAAAGCAAUUUUCUGGAGUUAUUAAGCAUCUUUAGAUAUGAUCUCAUGAAUGGAAUGCUACUACUUAGAUGCGAGAACCAGUGACACCAUAUGCUCAUACCAAUUUCGAACUCCACAAAUUGAAACACACAACACUCAAGAUUGAAGUCAAGGGUUGUAACAGGGCUUGGGGGUAAUGGCUAAUAAAGAAAGGAUAGGAAUAACAAACGUUCUUAAAGCGAUAGCAAGCAAAGCAAUGAAAUAGACACUUGGAAUUCACUUUAGAAUGCAGAAUCAACUUUUAAAUACAAAGGGAAGAUUCAUGCAACACUUAGGGCCGAAUUCAAUGUUUUGGACCCUUUUUUAACAAACUUUUUUCUUUUCACUCUUUUUUUUUUUCUUUUCUACCCGUGCCUUAUUAAGGACUUUGGCACACACACACACACACACACACACAAGAAUCACUUCCCCCACACUUGCUUUCUGCAAUACAUUGAUAAAAAAGGAGUUCAUUUUAAGUCAUGCUUUACUAUGCUUCAAGAACAAGGGUAUGGAUGGUCCUAAAACUAGGCUAGGUAAGGAUAGUGUGGUUUAACAAAGAACAUAGGUUUAACAAGGCUUAAUGAGGUUAAACUUAAACACAUAAUGAAAUAGGGGCACAGCAAUUUGGCUUUGGUGGUCACUACACAACUUCAUCUUGAAAAUGUGUUAUGCAAAUCAUUAGCAUGCUUUGAAUGAAAUAGGCAUGAGUUCUAGCAUUUGGAACUAAAUGAUGAAACGCCUUCUAAGUAGCAACCAAGCAAAGAAUAAUGAGAUCAUGCAACGACUUUAGAAAACAAUUAUGCACAGAUUAUUAACUCUCUUUAACAUGUUACAAAACUGAUUUUUCCUUUAUGAUUGCAUGUGAAUUCAUAAAUUAUAACCACAACCAAGCAUACACCAAAGAGUAAAUCAAAAUUUCAUCCAUGUUUAUAACUCUCUUUAAUAGUCAUGUAAUUAAAAACCAAAUCCUCAUCAUUGUGUUGGAAGGUACCCUAAGACACAAAUAAACAUACAAAAAUAACUCUUUUUGGGUUUUUCAAAACAAUUUUUCAAAUUUUUAUGAGAUUUUCGGAUUUUUAUGUCAAAACACACUAAAACACUCCAAAACAGCUUAAAAACACUUAAAACAGUAAGGAACAACACUAGAAGUAAUGGGUGAUAAACUCCUACGAAUUUCAUGCAAAACAAUGGUUAGCCCCCCCACACUUAAAUUAAACAUUGUCCUCAAUGUUUCAAGCAUAAACUCACACACAAAAAAUAAGCAAACAAACAAACAACGAAUAAACAUGACAAGUAUGGCAAAGUAAAAACCAGACAGAGUAGAAUUUAAGAACGCAAAUCUGGUUUUGGAGAUAGAUGAUCUUGUUGUCUUUCCAUAGCUUUGAUCUCGAACUGGUUUGGAAUUCUGAGCGAGGAAUAUGAGAGUUCCUUAGUUUCAAUUCAGACUCCUUCUGCUGGGUUGAUUUGAUUGUGCAGUCUGCAUUCUUAUCUGCUUGUUUUUUUUGCACGGCAGGCAGGCACGAGGUAGAGGUGUUGGUUUGUUUCUUUCUUCAAUCUUUCCAAGUGCCCACCUCUUGCUUUCUUUCUCCUUGUCCGUAGCUGAGGAUGAAUUAGCAAAAUGUCUGCACAUCCUUCGAGGUAUCAUUUUCACUUUCCUUAUCUGUUCCCCAGACAGAUGUGGUAGACGAAGAGGAAGCAUAAGAUGAUGAAGAUGAGUACUCGAAAGCAAGGCUAGGUAAGCAAUCAGGAAGGGGUUCCAGGCAGUCGGUUCCAGAUUAGAAAAUUGAUAUCAAGUGCUGGCUGAUUGCUCUCUUUCUCCUUGUCCCAAAACAACGACAAGGAGAAGGACAGGGAGAAAGCAUGAUAUGAGAUACUCUUGCUUUCAACCUUCAUGAUAUGAAAUACUUUUGCUUUGGAUGAGUUAUUUGCAGAGGUACCCCAAGGAAAAGUUGUUUGCAGAGGUACCCUAAGGAAUAAGAAACACUGAGUGACUCGAGAGGGUUUGUUGGAAAGGCAUUCUCGGAGAAGAAGAAGGGUUAUGUAUGUUUGCCUUGCAAUGGAGGGUGAAGGGUGACAUUUAUAUGAAUUAAUAACCGGUACUAUUCUUUCACUCUUGUCAGUAACCGUUGGAUGAUUUAAUAGUAAACUUCACGUUCUUUCUACUUCACAAGAGAUCUUCGACAGAUUGCUCGUAAUUUUUGCAAGGCUGAGUGUGCAUGUGACAGGCGCUGACACGUCUGGAAAUCCAAGUGCCUUUUCGAUAUCUGGAAUCGGCGCUUCAACAAACUACCCGUGAUUUUGCAUGUGAUAGAUGCUGACACGUCUGGAAAAACAGAUGUCUCUCCAAUAUCUGGAAUCAGCGCUUCGACAAACUGCCCGUGAUUUCCGCAAAGCUGACUCUGAAUGUGACUGAUGCUGACACGUCUGGAAAAACAGAUGCCUCUCCGAUAUCUGAGCUUGCCUCUUCGAUCUCUGAAAUUCCGUCGAGUGCAGAGGUUGCAUGUGACAAGUGCGGACAAAUCUGGAAAAGAAGAUUGGGCGUGGUUUCUGAGCAAGCCCAGCUUUUGAGAAAGCUAGCGCCCCUUCGAUUUUUGAGUUGGCCUCUUCGAUUUCUAAGCUCGCCUCUUCGAUCUUUGAAAUCCUGUCGAGUGCUAAUUUUUAUAGAGGUAUGCAGGACGUUCAAAGCACACUUCAAUUUCUGCCUGUACAAACUCCAUUCUUGCACUUCUACGAUCUUGACUUGUCCGACCUCUUCUUUCUUUAACACCUCUGAAAAUGUCUGGCCUCUCUGACCGUCGUUUUGACUUGAACCUUGGUGAAGAGGUAGUCCCGCAUUCUCCAGACAACAUAUGGCGCCCAUCCUUCAUAUCCCCUACUGGUCCCCUUACCGUUGGGGAUUCGGUGAUGAAGAAUGAUAUGAUAGCUGCGGUGGUGGCCAGGAACCGUGUCACUCCCAAAGCUAACAGACUACUUGGCAAACGGUCUGAUGAGUUGGCUGUUAAGGAUUCUCUGGCUCUCAGUGUGCAGUGUGCAGGUUCUGUGUCCAAUAUGGCCCAACGCCUAUUUGCUCGAACCCGUCAAGUUGAAUCAUUGGCGGCUGAAGUGAUGAGUCUCAAACAGGAGAUUAGAAGGCUCAAGCAUGAGAAUAAACAGUUGCACAGGCUCGCACAUAACUAUGCUACAAACAUGAAGAGGAAGAUUGACCAGAUGCAGGAAUCUGAUGGUCAUAUUUUACUUGAUCAUCAGAGGUUUGUGGGUUUGUUCCAACAGCAUUUUCCUUCGUCUUCUGGGGCUGUAUCGCGUAAUGAAGCUCCAAAUGAUCAACCUCCGAUGCUUCCUCCUUCUGGGGCUCCGCCGACUACUGAGACUUCUCCUAAGCAGCCUUUGUGAAGGCUUCCUCUUGUAGCUUUUUUCUGCUUAAUGUUCCCUUUUUUUAUGAAAAUGAAUGUAAAAAUACCUUGCAUAACUGUCAGUGUUUUAAAAAUAAAUCCACAAAAAAAACAAUUAAACAAGCAAAAAUAAAAAUAACAAUCAUGGCAAAAUAAAACUACAGAAAAGGGAAGGUUUUUAGGAAUGCAAAACCAAUCGUGGAGCAAUUCAAAAAUCUUCCUUAUUUGAAUACAUGGGUUGCCUCCCAAGAAGCGCUUGCUUUAAUGUCUUCCAGCCGGACGAAACUUCCUUCUAAACUUGGAUAGGGCCCAUAGCAUGGAAUUGAUUCUUGAAUGGAAGGUGAUACUUGACGUGAUUCGGCAAUGGUUUAAAUUCUAGUGUAGGUGCCUGAAUCAUCAAAAUCAGCAAGUUAGUAUAUAAUAAAAUCGAAGUUGGAGAAGAUGGCUUACUUGCUUGCUCCAACACAAACUCAAUUACGAACACCAUAUCUUUGAAGGUUGCAGGGAUAUGGGACUUGGCCAGAUUUGGUGUUUUGAGAGUUAUGACUUGUCCUGUGUCAUAAAAUCCAACUUCUUAGGGAAUUUUCAUCUCAAAUGUAUCUUCUUUGAUGAAUUCUAGACAUUCCCCAUCCACUUCUUGCUCUUGAUUCGUUGGAAAGGUUUCGAAGAUGCCUUUCUCACCUUCUUCUUCCUUGGAUUGCAUGAUCCUGCAAGGAAUAAGGACAUUUGGUGAAACGAGGUCAGGACAAAUUGGAUUUAGGCUUACCUUGGUUGUAGUGGACGACAUAGAUGGCAUAUGGGGUUGUGGCAAAGGUGGUUCUUCCCUUGCUGUGGCUUUGUUAUUCUCCUCUUAUUCGAGCAGCAGUUGUUCAUCCAUGUUUUGGCUUGGUUUGGAUGUCUUGGGUUCACCUCCAACCUCCAUAGCACUUCCCAAAGUGAUAGCAUCAUGGAUUUCAAAAUCUUCCUUCAAAUUUUUAAUAGUUGAGUUGGAGAGUUCACUUUGCUCUUGAAUUUGUGCCAUGAACUCCAUAAUCUGCCCAAUUUGCUUAUCCAAUUCUCCCGUCUUCUUGGCUUGAUUUUGCAUCUCUUUGUUUCCAUUUUCUACUUCUUGGUUCAAAGAGGUGAGUAACUUAUUAAACAUAUCAUUAUCCAAAGACGUGCCUUAAUUGAAUUGGGCAGAUUGUUGUGGUGGCUGCAUAGGUCUUGAGUAGAAUUCCUCUUCUUGCUGCCAAUAUCCAUCUUGUUGGAAUUGUUGAGGUUUUCCACACAUGUAAUCUAAAUAAUCUCUCCAAUCUGAAUUGUAAGCGUUGGAAAACAUGUUGUCCCAUGAUUGGCUAUGGCUUUGAUAACCCCAAGCAUCUUCAUUCGUAGUGAAUUGAGAACAUUGAUGAGUUGGAUAUCCUUGCCCAUAGGACACACCACAUGUAGGGACACUUUGCAUUGUGGUCCUUUCGGCAUAUUGUGACAAUUGAGAAGUAAGUUUCGCCAAUUGAGCUUGAAUGGUAGCAAAAUCCAUGUCUUACUUCUCUAGUACCUGAAAGCAAGGAAACAAAACUAAAACAAAUAUCAUAAGUAAAAAUAAAAGACACAAAUAGAAACAAAGUCAGUAACUAAAACAAAAGUCAUGAAAAAGAAACAAUGGGGGAUUAGCAAAGUUGCUAAUCCCAGGCAACGGCGCCAAAAAUUUGGUGCGAAAAUUACUUAACACACAAAUUAAACCCUCUUGUAUUAAUUGUAGUAAAGAAUGUAAGUAGGGAUCGUUCUGGACCGGGGAUUAGGAAGGCUUGCUAAUAACCUAUAAAUUGACUUAAAAACAUAUAAACAAAGUUAAAAACACUAAACUAGACUCAAAGAACUUAAAACAAACUCAAAGGACUCAAAACAAGCUAAACACGCUCAAACCUGCCUAAAAACACAAACUGGGCAGAUUUGGACUCUAACACACUUUUGGGACACCUAAAAACACAAAUCAAAACAGAUUUUGACUAAUAAAACACUUUAAAGUAAAUGGGGUUUUGGUUUUGACGAAUUUGAAAACAAAACAAGUAAAUUAAAGAACUAAUGAAAUCUGCACGAAUUUGAGUAAAUUGAAUGGAUGGAAGGCUAGCUAGGAGGUUCUUCUCCACACAUGACAUACUUGCACCUAAACCAAUUUUCAGUUGUUCUUUCGAUCAAUCAUGAAACUCAACACCCCAGGUUAAUUAAGUCCGCUUAAAUUAACCUUCAAGUUCUCCUUAAGUUAUUGAAUUAGAUGGGAAAACGCAUACAACAAUUCAAGCAUUCUUCAAAUGUUCUUUACGUGAACAGCACAAUAAAGAUACAAUCAAAGAUCAUUAAGCAUUAUGAAAACUAUAAGUAUUGAUGAGGCACUCGUUACUAUGAUGAGCAUGAAACUCCUGCCAAGAAUUUAUUUAACGCGAUCGUUUAUAAGCGACCUCCACUACUUGUGAAUAUAAGUUUGUAACUAUUAGGUGAAACUCCCUUAUACUCUAGCAUCAUAUUCAUGCAUGCAAACUAAGUGUGCACUCUUAAUAAACAUACAUGAAUAAGUUAUCAAUCAAGCAAUUAAACAAAUUGAAUUCACAACUUAUGAAAUCACAACUGAAGGUAAUCAAAUCAUAUUGCAAGCAUGAACAUGGUUUCGAAUUCCCCCCUAGCUAAAGGGGGUUUAGUUACUCAUACUCACAAAGCAAAGAUAAACAAAUUUAGACAUUGAAAACAAAAGAAUGAAAACACCUAAAAACGCUCCAACAAUCCAACUUGAAUGGCAAGCACGUCCAAGGGUCCUCCUUCUUCUCUUUGUUGCGGCACAAGGUGUGGUUUGAUGGAUGAGUGGUAAAUUAUGGUGGUGGAUGGAUAUAGGUGAGUUAUGGUGAAGGGUGGAUGGGUGGAUUAUGUUCUCCCCUAAGGAAUGAAAGUGUAAGUGUAUGGAGUUGUGAGAUGUGAAUGUAGUGUCUUUGGAUGGAUCUUUUCUCCUCCCUUGUUAUGGUGAAAGGUGGAUGUAUUUAUAGGCUAGGGAGAUGACCACCAUCUAAUUAAGGUGGUAGUGGUGUAUGUUGUGGUAAUGAGUGGAUGUAAUGGGUGUAGUGGGUGAGUGUUUGGUAAUGAGUGGAUGUAAUGGGUGUAGUGGAUGGAUGUUUGGUAAUGAGUGGAUGUAAUGGGUGUAGUGGAUGAGUGUUUGUAGUUGUAGGUCAACACACUUGCACACACACAUGCUGAUUUCUAGCCUUCUAAUCUUCAAAAACGUCCAUCCUUAUGUCUCCAUGCUUGCAUUAUCCAAUCUUGGCCCAAAAAUGCUCCAAAGUGCCAAAAUAGCACUUUGUUGCCAACUUUGUUAUUUGAACCUACAAACACAUGAAAAUAGCUUAAAGUACUAAAAUAACUAGAAUUAAACUAAGUAAAUGCCAAGAAACAAGCUCACUAAGUUGCAUAAAUAUGCUCCUAUCAGUAUACGAUCCCGACGUCAACGCUUUCACAUUGGCAUAUUCGAGUCCUCUCGGUAUAGAACCCACAUCCUUUUAUUUAUUCAAUUUUUUAUUAAUUCUUUUAGAGCUCUAGUUAGUUGUAUGCUCUAAAUACGUUCCUAAAUUUUUAACUCAUUGUAUUUAAAUUCAUAACCCUUAUUUACUUCUUAUUCUUAACUUUUAUAUCAAUUAGUGGCUUUCGUCACCCUCAGGUGUCGGCCAGCACGUGUCAAUCCUAAUAUUCAGGGAAUAUCAGGGUCGGGGUGUGUCAGAAUAUGCUAACGGGUUUAGGUAUAAUUAGCGGUAUAUGCUGAUUUUUUAACGGAAUAUUCCCUAACAUCGUUAGGUUUCCGUCCAGCGUGCUAGGCAUGUGCCUCCGUGUGGCCGCACUUGGGUCAUCGGAAAUUUUUUCUAAAAAUAUGGGGUUGUUCCUAGGGUUGAAUAGAUCAUGUUGGUAUAUUCAAACACCCCAAUUGAGCAAUGUGUGAUAAAUUAUUAUCUAGUUUUGUUUAUGUGCUUUAAAAUAAUGUUUAAAUAGUUGUUUCGCAUAUAGGUGAGACCUAUCUUGAGGACGAGCACAAUCAAGUGAGACUCGGGGACUACGACCCUUCCACAUAUCAGUGAGUGGGCUUUUGGUUUUUAGUAUAUACUUAUAUACUUAGUAUUUUUCCCAGAAAAUGUGUUUAAAGGAAAUAAUGUUUUGAAAUGCCAUGCCUAUUGAUUUAUACUUAGAUUAUGAAUUAGUAUAGUAAUUGCAUAUAUCUAUGUUCGAUGUUGUGGAUGCUUAGGUAAGUGCCAAGUGAGUUGUAGAUUGUUAACAUGAGUUGAUGAUUAUUUUGAGAUGACACACCCCGACCGAGAUCAAGGCACACCGGCUGUCACAUGAGAGUGACGUAGCCAUGUGCACAGUGCGGAAGCAAUAAUGAAAAGAAAUAUACGAAUAAUCAAAAACCAAAUUACUAGAGUGCACUACUAAAUAUGAAGUGAUAGGAGUUAGUUACAAACGUAAAUACUCUUAAUCAGAGCAUAGUAAGUCUAGGUGUAGUCCAGUAGGAUAAGUACUAGUUAUACAGUACCAGAAAUGUCCUACUAUUAUUUAGGUAGGUCAGAACUGCCGACAUCCUCAAGCCACCAACAGCAAGCUUACUUAAAACUUGAAGGGGCGCAAAACAUAAAAUGUGAGUGGGUAAAAACAAACGUUUUGCAAAAUCAUUUUCUUUAUCAACAUAUCUAACCCCUCGCUAUAAAACAUGUAUAAUUUUUCCCAGAAUCAGAAUAUACGCAUAUACAUAAUUUAUAUAUAUAUAUAUGAAAUCAUAUCAAUUCAAUUCAUGCUUCACAUAAUCAUUUUCAAAUAUAUGCCAUGCCAAUAUAUAACAAAGUAAGCAAUUCAGGUAAGAAUAAAUUCAUAGAAAUAUGAUAUGUUAGCCGGAACCCCUUUGGUAGUCUGUACGGCUGAAUUCAUAGCUCAAAAGUCAAUUUAGCCGGAGUCACUACAAUGACCUAUACGGAAAUAUACUCCACAUAAGUCGGACCCACUAAAAAGGUUUGUAUUACAAGAUUGGGUGUAAUAUAGUUAUGCUCAAUUUUACUCUCUCAUAAUAGCCGGGCGAUAAAUCGCUAGUCACCUACGAGUCGGAACCUUAAUUAAGGUUUGUACGACAAGACUGUGCACUUAAGUUGGAUCCAAUAUGAGCAUAUAGUGCGGGAGAUGACAUAAAUAAACAAGCAUGUACUUCACAUCUCUGGCUAAAUCACAAUCACCCUAGGUGCAGUUUUAUGAGCUCAACAUCAUGCAAUCACAUAUCACAUCAUCGAUGAUUCACAUAACCAAACAUAACUUACCUGCACUUACCUGUGCCUCCACAGCACCACAUUUAUACAUACAUAUAUAUAUAUAUAUGCAACCAUGAAAUGCAUAUUCAGAAUAUAAAAGCAUUUGGCAUAUUAUUUCAAAGCAUAUUUUCCUUAAAAAAAUGCAUUUCUGGGAAAUAUAUCAAGUAUAUAAAUAUAUACUGAAAACAAAAGCCCACUCAUUGGUAUGUCGAAGGGUCGUUGAUAGGAGCAUAUUUAUGCGCCUUAGUUGAGCUUGUUCUUGUGCAUUUAUAGUGUUUUUCCUUAGUAAAGUAGUCUUUUAAGCUAGUUUUAUGUGUUUUCAGGUUUUAAGGGCAAAGUAUGCAAAAGGAUGCAUUUUGGAGCCUUUUGGAGCACAUUUGAGCUUGGAAUGGAUGUCAUAUGCUUGGAGCCAAGAUGAUGGACGAAAUUGAAGAUUUGAAGAUGAUGUUUCCUACUUUAACAAAGUUUCCUAGUUGAAGUAGGAAAGUCCCUAAGUGAAGAUGGAAUCCUAGUUGAAUUAGGAUUCCUAGUCAAAAUGGGUUUCCUAGUUGCAUUAGGAUUCCUUGAAGAUGAAGAUUCCUACUCAAACAAGGUAUCCUACUUGAUGUAGGAAAGUCAAAAUCCAAAAUGGUCUCAAGUGAAGCAACAAAGAAGUUUUCCAAGUCCAAGAAGGAAAAUGAGUCCAAGAUGAAGAAGGAAUGACAAAGACAAGGUUUCCUAAUCCUAAUAGGCAAAGUUUCCAAGUGCAAUGAGGAAUCCUUAUCCAUUUAGGGCACCUUAUCCAUUUAGGAUACCUUAUCCUUGUUCUAGAAACCUUAUCCAUUCUUGCUGUGAGUUUUCCUUGCAUUAGAGGGUUUCUAGAAGCCCUAAUCUGCCCUAUCCUUUAGUGCCGCACCUAUCCCUUCUAGAAAGCUGAUUUCCCUUGCCUUGCAAGGCAUUCUAGAAGCCUUAUCACCUCAUCUCCUUACCUGCCGCACCUAGGAAGCAUUAUCCCUUUUUAUUUCUGAUUUCUAAGCCUUUUUCCUUGGGGAGUUGGGUUCUAGAAAGCCUAAUCUGAUUCACCUAGGGUUUUGGGGUCCUAUAAAUAUGUUUGCCGCAGCCACCAAACACCUUUCUCCCUAGUUUUUAAGCCUUGCCGCACCAUCCCCAUCCCCUAAACACUACUACAUUCAUCCAUAACCAUGCAUCCAUACACCUGAUGUCCUAAACCUGUCCCUAGACCCUUGUCGCACCAAGGAGGAGGAGAAGGAAGCUCGGAAGUUCAUGCAAUUCAAGUUCGCGUCGCUGGAAUUUCUAGGUGUUUCUUUUCCUUUGAUUUCAAUGUUUAAAUUCAAUUCUCUUUGUUUUGUGCGUAUGAGGAACUAAACCCCCCUUGGCUAGGGGGGAUUCGAAAUACAUGUUUAUGCUUGCGAUAUGAUUUGAUUACUUCUAAUUGCGUUUCAUAAGUUGUGAAUUCAAUUUACUUAUCUAUGUGAAUUACAUUGAUUUGUGUGUGUUGGUUGAGAGUGCACGCUUAAUUAUCAUGCAAAAAUUGAAUGCUAGGAUAUAAGGAAAUUUCACCUAAUCGUUAUGGACUUAUAUUCACAAGUAGUAAAGGUUGAUGAUCUCAAUUGCAUUAAGUAAAUUCUUGGCAUAAGUUUCAUGCAAUCAUAGUAACAAGUGCUUCGUCAAUGCUUAUGGUUUUCAUAGAACUUAAUGAUUCUUGCUUGUAUCUCUAUUAUGCAAUCAUGUAGGGGACUUGUGGGGAAUGCUUUGGGUUGUCGUAUGCAAUCAUCCAAUUCAAUAACGUUAGGAAAAUCUGAAGGGUUAUUUAAGUGGACCUAAUUAACUUGGGGCGUUGAGAAUUCAUGGUUUAUUGAAAAGCAAUUGGGAAUCGUUUUGUAUGCAAGUGUAACAUGUGUGGAGAUGAACCCCUUAGCUAGCCUUCCAUCCAUUCAUUUAAACCAAAUUCGUUUUAAAAUCUGUUCGUUUUACAAAGUUUUGUUUUGUUUUCAAAUUCGUCCAAAAUCAAUCCCCCUUUUCUUUGUUGAGUCAUAUUAGUUAGAAGUCAAGUUAGUUUGUGUUUUUAAGUGUUUUGAGUCAAGUUAAAAACCUAAUUUCGUCAAGUUUGUGUCUAGUGUUCAAAACUGCCCAGAUUGUGUUUUUAAGGCAGUUUUGAGUGUUUUGGUGCUGUUUUGAGUCUUUUGGUUUGUUUUGGUAUUUUAAAGUUUAGCUUUGCAUUCUUUGAGUCUAGUUUAGUGUUUUAAACUUGUUUUUACGUAUUUGAGUCAGUUUUCAAGUGAUUUUGCAAUCCCUCCUAACCCCGGCCAGAACGAUCCCAACUUAAUACUUCUACAAUGAUAAAAGAGGGUUAAUUUGAGUGUAGUUAUUCACAUCGUCGUAGCCCCCGAGUCGCCGUGGAUAGCUCGUCCUCGGAUAAGCUUCACCUAAUGCAAAUUAAUAUACAAGUUAUUUUAAAGCACAUAGGUGAAACUAGCUAAUAACUUCUCAUACAUAGCUUAAAAUGGGUAUAUGAAUAUACCACAGUGACCUACACAACCUUAGGAACAACCCCAAAUUUUUAGAUAAAUUUUUCGAGCUCCCACGCGCCGCCACGAGCUGGCAAGGGCACGGUAAAACGCGCCCCCACGUGUGGCCAAACCUGACGGAUUUCCUAACCACAGUUAGGGAAUAUUCCGUUAAAGCUUAACAAAUUCCGUUAAAACUGACUGACGGCGUCAGCAUAUUCCGUCCAAACUGACGGAAUAUGCCGUCAUCUACUCCGGUGAGUCGCUGGUCGCUGGAAAACUGGGUAAAACUUUAAAACCUUUGUUCUCACUCAUUUCUUCACCAAAACUUAUGAAAUUUGAACCAUUGGAAAGUUAGCAAUGUGUAGAAUCACAUUAUACCAUUUUUAAGCCUUGAAAUCUACUAGAUUUUACCUAAGGAAGCUCAAUAAUCCGGUUAACUUUGAAAACCUUCGAUCUCGGCCCUUCGAUGUCCAAACUCUUCCAACGAACUACCCCGAGCUUCCUUAGGACCUCCUAAAGCUCCUUGUGAGCUUGAAAUCUUUUGAAACACAAGGUUUUACAUCCACAUGAAUAGUGCAUGAAAAAUGAAUUUCGGGUUCAUGAGUUUUCGAAGGAAUCCUUACCUGAAAUUGGUACCUUUGAACUCGUAGGGUCCUCACGAACACAAUGGUACCAUUUUCUUCCUUGAUCUGUGAGUUUUAAGAUGUCCUUGGUGUUGUCCGUACAAGAAGAAAAAGAUAGUGAGUCCGAGAGAGAUGAUGGCACGGGAAGGAAGGGAGAGGGAGUGGGUGCGGUGUGUGUGUGAUCCACGUGGUCACCAAUCCAAAACCACACAAUAAACUCUAAGUCUCAAUAUGUCACACAUACACACUACAAUUUCCCCGUCCAAAGAUAAAACUGUCAUUUCACGUCAUCAAAAAUUAAUUAUUAGGGACGGGCUGUGACAUGAGAUGCAUUAAGAGCUCAUAAACCUGCACCUCGGUGUUAGUGUUUCCAUCAGUGGUUAGGGCACAGUCCUUCAUGUGAUGUUCACCUCCCGCACCAUAUGCUCACCUUGGAUCCAAGUUAGGUGCAUAGUCUUGUCAUACAGAUCAUUAUAGGUGGUUCCGACUCGUAGGUGACUCGCGAUUAUUCGCACAGUCUUCACGCGAUCAUAGCACUUGAGCGUAUUUAUUUACACCUAGUCCUGUCGUACAGACCACUAUAGGUGGUUCUGACUCGUGUGCAGUCAUACUUGUUGAGCUAUAGGUUCAACCGUACAGGCCACUUUAGGUGGAUUCGGCUGAUAUGUUAUUUCUCAUGAAUUUAUUUCACCUGAGUUACUUAUUCUGUUAUUUUGAGAUAUUUGGCAUGGCAUACUUAUGAAUAUUGCUUGUUGAGCAUGGUAUUGAAUUAUGUAUAUAUUCUAUUUUCUGAAAAAUUAUACAGGUUUUACGACGAGGG
Molecule: long non-coding RNA, 16462 nt
Filed under: Malus domestica (apple)
Lineage: Eukaryota; Viridiplantae; Streptophyta; Magnoliopsida; Rosales; Rosaceae
Description: long non-coding RNA (MDOM_LNC007530)
Source: RNAcentral